GAAUUCCUAGAUUCGUCCCAAAAUCUGGGACGAAUCAAAGAUUCGUCCCAAAAAAUAAGCAAUGGAAAGAAAUUUUUUAAUUUAUAAGUUAACCCUAAAUCUCCUCCCACCCAUCUGCCCCUUCACUCAUCCCUUCACUGCAACUCUUGCGGCGGCUGAUUCCUUCCCGAUCGGCUGCGGCACAGGUUUCAAUUUGGCAUGAUCUCAGUGUAGUUGAAGACAACUGUAUUUGUUCACGUCUUUUCGGUAAAAUGCAGAAUGAGCGAAGUUGGAUGUAUAAUAAGAAUUCAAGUAUAAUGCAG
Long non-coding RNA from Zingiber officinale, 302 nucleotides. RefSeq lists it as uncharacterized. The transcript is spliced from 3 exons. The record is from RefSeq and is a predicted model, not a curated record. Lineage: Eukaryota; Viridiplantae; Streptophyta; Magnoliopsida; Zingiberales; Zingiberaceae.